UACGGAGGAUGCGAGCGUUAUCCGGAUUUGUUGGGUUUAAAGGGUGCGUAGGCGGGCUUUUAAGUCAGCGGUAAAAAUUCGGGGCUCAACCCCGUCCGGCCGUUGAAACUGGGGGCCUUGAGUGGGCGAGAAGAAGGCGGAAUGCGUGGUGUAGCGGUGAAAUGCAUAGAUAUCACGCAGAACCCCGAUUGCGAAGGCAGCCUUCCGGCGCCCUACUGACGCUGAAGCACGAAAGUGCGGGGAUCGAACAGG
This 252-nucleotide ribosomal RNA is filed under the name uncultured bacterium. RNAcentral describes it as "partial 16S ribosomal RNA". It matches the Rfam family "Bacterial small subunit ribosomal RNA", at positions 524 to 776 of the family's 1533-position model. The record is from RNAcentral.